Triticum aestivum (bread wheat) is the source of this 135-nucleotide non-coding RNA. The record is from Rfam. Lineage: Eukaryota; Viridiplantae; Streptophyta; Magnoliopsida; Poales; Poaceae.
AACAUACUCCCUACGUCCGAAAAUACUUGUCAUCAAGAUGGAUAAAAAGAGAUGUAUCUAUAACUAAAAUACGUCUACAUACAUCCUCUUUUAUCCAUUUUGACGACACAUAUUUCCGGAAGAAGGGAGUACGAG